Molecule: long non-coding RNA, 1483 nt
Organism: Physeter macrocephalus (sperm whale)
Lineage: Eukaryota; Metazoa; Chordata; Mammalia; Artiodactyla; Physeteridae
Exons: 7
Source: RefSeq, a predicted model, not a curated record
UAUAGGUCUGUAUCUAUUUCCCAAAAAGGGCUUUCCCUGGAAAUGACCAGGCUGCUUUCCUGUCUAUGUAAAUAGGUGAGGAUGUGUCAAUUGGUAGGAAUCAUUUUAGGAUAUGUGGCCAGAAGGUAAGCAGGCAGGCUACCUAAAUGCCAAAAUAACAAGAAUGUUACUCUGAGAAUGGAGUAUUUCAGCAUAUUUUUCCCCUGGUUUGAGAGGGCUUUCCUCUUACAUUCUCUCUGUAUGGUUGCACAGCUUGAUGUGCCUAAAAGUCAGCUGUGCCUGUGUGUCAAGAGACAAAUAUCACACUGAAUCGCUAGCCCGUCCUAUGCAGUUUCUUUCGGAAGAAGUUCUCUGGCUUAAGCUAGGGAAGAAAUGCCUCUGCUGUCAGAGGCAUUCUCCACUCUGUGGGGAAGUGGAGAAAAGCCACAUGAGUCCUGUUAGCCUACAGAUUAUUAAAUACUUAUCCUGAUGACGGUUUCACUGCUCUCCCCCAUCCUCAUGCCUUCUAACUGAACUUGGAGCUUUCCCAACAUAUCCAAGAUGUCUCCUUUGAGUGUGUUGGACCCCCUGUAUGCUUUCUCCUAGUCUGGAUUAUUUAUCAAUAAGAGCUUAUUCUCUGGAAAUCAUUCACAAUUUCAAUUUUGCUGCCAGUAUCACUUCCUAUUUGCCAUGCAGCUAUGGAUUUAUUUUCCCUGUGAAACAACUUUGUUGUUUCAGUGGAACUGGGAAGAGAAAAAGAUAAACCUACUUCCUAGGUUUACUGUUUUUGAACUAGGGGCUCCAUGAGUUUGAAUUCCCAGCUGGUGUUUAGAUUUAGUGCUUCGUUUGGACUCUGAACUUCCAAAGGUCUCCACGUGUACUACACUGAAGGCUGACAGCAGGGCUGAGGAUCCUCCUGAGAGAUCUUCCAGUGUGUGGGCCACUGAAACUAAGGCAGGCACCCUCAGAAGGCUGGAGAAUUUCGAGACUGGCAGGAAAAAAUCUCUCGAAGAAGAGGUCCUACAGCUGUGAAAUGUUCUCUCGCUGACACAGUUUCAGUCUGGAACAUUUAGAGUAUGAAGUCUCCACAUAACUAAAAUGGAAAAAUACUUGAAGAACUUAGAAAAAAAAAGGAAUCACUUGUGCUUCUCAGUCACCUAGAGGCUUGUUAAAUUAAAACAUAGCUUGCUGGACCUGCCCCUGGAGUUCUGACAAAGUAGUCUGAAGAGGGCCUGAGAAUGCACGUGUCUGAAUACUCUUGGCACUGGUGCAUGCACGCUAUACAGCCCUAUAAGGUUCUUUCAUACCUCCAAGAUACGGAAAGAGAAAAAAGUCAGUUGCAGAACAAUGUUUCACAUUCAGUGGCGUGCACUCGGUGUGCAACACAGAGCACUGGACGGAGGAGCUCCGGACGGUUGAGAAUUGCUGCAUCUGAGGAAAGGAGGGGAAAGCAGCAGGAGCACUGGAUGGGAGAAGGGGCACAUUCAUGUUUUUUUCUAAAUAU